AAUAGAUCUAGAAGCAGCCACUUUUAACUUUUUACUUCUUACUUCCUUAACAUAUCCUUACAACCACAAAAGCAUAUUUAUACUACCCCUUACUUAUCUUAACCUACUUGUUUUUCCAUCACCCUAAAACCAAUGCCCAUUACACAUAAGGCCUUAAUUGAGUUUAUGGCCUAAUGGCCUUUUACUUGUUUUCAUUAUUACAAAACACAAACUCUCUUUGUUGUGACUCUUCUUCUUCUUCUUCUUCUUCUACACGAUCUCUUCUUCCUCUUUCUCCCUCUACACCUGCUUGUGAAUCUCUCUGCUCCCAAUUACCUUGGUACCUUCUUCCUCCAGUAUCUCUUGUUUCUUAUUGAGCAAAGGAUCAACUUCCAACACUCCCUCUUGAUCCUUUUGCUCAAUCCCCAAAAUCUUACCAAAGAAAUUGAUUCCCUUUGUUUCUGAAGUUUCUUUGAUUUGGUUCUUCAUUUCUGGUCCUAUGCCUCUUAGAACAUCAGCAUAGCCCACUGAGGUCUGAACCGUUCUCUUGUACUGCAUGUACUCGUCUGAGUGAUUCUGGGCAUCGAUCUUCUUCUUGUCCCUUGCAUGAAUCCCCUUGUCGAGAUCUACAAAACUCAUAAGUCCCUUGUGCUUGUCAUGUGGUUCUGCAAUCUGAGUCUUCUUCUUCUGCAUAUUGGUCUCAUUGCAAGUCCAAGCAUCAAUAUCCAUUUCAUGUAUCUGUCUGCAGCAACUUCCACACAAUCUCCAUCUCCCUCAUCAGAUGUGAUGAUCUCUGGUCCAUACACUUCAGGAUGGGUGAUCUAUGGAGUCAUCAGUCUGGACCUUGCUCUUGUUAGUCUCUUCUGGUUUUGAUGAGCUGCUUGCAACCCUUUAUGUUCCUUCUUAGUCUCAACAUAAGCAUCAUAUACAUCCAACAGCUCUUCCAUGCUCGGUGACUUGUUCUUCCUCUGGUUGAAAUUCUCUUCACAUAACACCUUGAGAUCUUCAGUUUCAUGCACCAUGAUUGCAGCAUCCUCCUCUCUCUGAAUCACAACAGGUCCAGUAUCUCCAGUUUCUUCCUCAUACUCUCUAGGUCUUGUUUCUGCCUUCUCUUGAGUGAUUAUGCAUCCUGAUGUGUUGAACAUCAUCCCAUAACCACUUCUCGUCAGCUGAGGAACACUUAGGUAGUUGUGUUUCAAGCUAGCAUAGAAAACCAGCUUUCUUCUUUGGCCAUGUGACACGUAGCUCCACUGUCUAUCAACCAGGAAGUUGAUUACUUCAGCCACAGUUACAACUGCAAGAUCCUUUGUCUGUUCUAUGACUCCCACAUAGGAGUCAAACCUUUCUUGAAGUUGUAGAAGUUUGCUCUCAGCCUCUGUAGCAUUAUCAUGGAACCUUUUGAGUCACCUAGGAACCUUAGUUGAAGUACAUCUCAUGCAUCCUUUGAGGUUUCAGUGACAGAUAAGUGACUACUGAAUAUUUCUUCAGAAACAGCACUAAACAACAACUGUAAAGCAUUUUGAUCCUUCAUCUCUAACUCUUCCCAGUCUAUCAUUCUUUUCUUUUCAUCUUGUGUGGGAGUAGUUAACUUAGGUGAUAUUGGGAUACCUUCUGUAACUACCUUCCAUAAACCCUUAGACUUAAGUAUAGCCUUCAUCUUUAUAACCCAUAGACUAUAGUUCUUUCCAUCAAACACUGGAACCACUUGAACAUUCUGCAUUUUUAUCUUACGACUAGUUGUAGUCUUAGAGUUUACCUGAUUUUUGCUUUCCUUUUUUUUUUCUUUUCUCGUUUCCUUGUUGUGCUCUUGUGAACCAGCUUGUGCCUCUAACUUUCCUUUGUUUCUUGUGCAGGUUCCAGGUCACCAAGAACUUUGAAGCUCUGAUACCAUGUUGGAAAUAGAUCUAGAAGCAGCCACUUUUAACUUUUUACUUCUUACUUCCUUAACAUAUCCUUACAACCACAAAAGCAUAUUUAUACUACCCCUUACUUAUCUUAACCUACUUGUUUUUCCAUCACCCUAAAACCAAUGCCCAUUACACAUAAGGCCUUAAUUGAGUUUAUGGCCUAAUGGCCUUUUACUUGUUUUCAUUAUUACAAAACACAAACUCUCUUUGUUGUGACUCUUCUUCUUCUUCUUCUUCUUCUUCUACACGAUCUCUUCUUCCUCUUUCUCCCUCCACACCUGCUUGUGAAUCUCUCUACUCCCAAUUACCUUGGUACCUUCUUCCUCCAGUAUCUCUUGUUUCUUAUUGAGCAAAGGAUCAACUUCCAACAGAAGUUCUCCUCGUCUCCACCUCCUGCUAUAGAGCUCAAAAUGCUUUAAUUGACUCAUUGGCUCAAGUGGCUGGCUAUAGAUUGUCUUGAGUGGUUAAAGAUACUUUUGAUUCUGCGAUAAUAAUUUCCUCUAUUUAAAUUGUAUCUUGUUCCUUCUUCAUGUAGACUUCGUUUUCGAUUUUUAGAUGGUUAGGUUUUGAUUUGUAAAUCUCUAACAUGCACAACUCUUGCCUAGACAAUUGCUCGUA
Camelina sativa (false flax) is the source of this 2504-nucleotide long non-coding RNA. RefSeq lists it as uncharacterized. The record is from RefSeq and is a predicted model, not a curated record. Lineage: Eukaryota; Viridiplantae; Streptophyta; Magnoliopsida; Brassicales; Brassicaceae.